Paramisgurnus dabryanus is the source of this 309-nucleotide non-coding RNA. The record is from RefSeq and is a predicted model, not a curated record. Lineage: Eukaryota; Metazoa; Chordata; Actinopteri; Cypriniformes; Cobitidae.
GUGUGUGUGUGAUGUAUAUUAAACAUGACCUGGCCAAAAUGGACAUGGCAGCAGGUCAAAAUCAAAUACAAGAACAUUCUGCAGAAUGCAGUGAAAAAGAAUACCCAGAGACAAGGCACGGGUGGUGGGUCACCAAAAGCUGACCUCACCCCAGCAGAGGCCAGCUUUGGAGCUAAAUAAAGGCAGGCCUGUUGGAGGGAAUCCCUGGGGGAAAAGAGACAAGCAUAGGUCCCUCACAAGAUGCCACCCGCUUCAUACAAGUGUCUGGCAGCACUGUGUUACUGUUAAAGCCACCAGCACGAGCACCAG